RNAcentral lists this ribosomal RNA (244 nucleotides) under uncultured anaerobic ammonium-oxidizing bacterium. RNAcentral describes it as "partial 16S ribosomal RNA". It matches the Rfam family "Bacterial small subunit ribosomal RNA", at positions 439 to 674 of the family's 1533-position model. The record is from RNAcentral.
GGAGUUAGGAAAUGUAGACUCGCUAAUAUCGGGUCUAUUUGACAAAGGCUCCAAAGGAAGCCACGGCUAACUCUGUGCCAGCAGCCGCGGUAAUACAGAGGUGGCAAGCGUUGUUCGGAAUUAUUGGGCGUAAAGAGCGCGUAGGUGGAUUUGUAAGUCAGACGUGAAAGCCUUCUGUUCAACGGAAGAAUUGCAUCUGAAACUACAAACCUUGAGUGUAGGAGGGGAGAGUGGAACUUCUGGU